CGUGUCAAGGCGGUUCCGUAAGUCAGACCGUGAAAGCUCUUGGCUUAACUGGGAGAGGUCGUUUGAUACUGCGGGGCUUGAGGUCGGGAGAGGGACGUGGAAUUCCCGGUGUAGUGGUGGAAUGCGUAGAUAUCGGAGGAACACCAGUGGCGAAGGCGGCGUCCUGGCCCGUACCUGACGCUAAGACGCGAAAGCGUGGGGAGCGAACG
RNAcentral lists this ribosomal RNA (209 nucleotides) under uncultured bacterium. RNAcentral's name for it is "partial 16S ribosomal RNA". It matches the Rfam family "Bacterial small subunit ribosomal RNA", at positions 567 to 774 of the family's 1533-position model. The record is from RNAcentral.